AGUGAACGCUGGCGGUAGGCCUAACACAUGCAAGUCGAAUGGCAGCACAGUAAGAGCUUGCUCUUACGGGUGGCGAGUGGCGGACGGGUGAGGAAUACAUCGGAAUCUACUUUUUCGUGGGGGAUAACGUAGGGAAACUUACGCUAAUACCGCAUACGACCUACGGGUGAAAGCAGGGGAUCUUCGGACCUUGCGCGAUUGAAUGAGCCGAUGUCGGAUUAGCUAGUUGGCGGGGUAAAGGCCCACCAAGGCGACGAUCCGUAGCUGGUCUGAGAGGAUGAUCAGCCACACUGGAACUGAGACACGGUCCAGACUCCUACGGGAGGCAGCAGUGGGGAAUAUUGGACAAUGGGCGCAAGCCUGAUCCAGCCAUACCGCGUGGGUGAAGAGGGCCUUCGGGUUGUAAAGCCCUUUUGUUGGGAAAGAAAAGCAGCAGGUUAAUACCCCGCUGUUCUGACGGUACCCAAAGAAUAAGCACCGGCUAACUUCGUG
Molecule: ribosomal RNA, 492 nt
Filed under: uncultured bacterium
Lineage: Bacteria
Description: partial 16S ribosomal RNA
Rfam family: Bacterial small subunit ribosomal RNA
Source: RNAcentral